GAGGGGUGCGAAUUUUUAAGUCCAUUAUGAAAUGCGUGUACUGGUGGCACACAAGGAGGAGAGGCUUAAGAGAGAGGUUGGAAUCGGAAGACAAAUUGGCAUUCGGCAGAGGAUCUGUACCUUUUAAGUUUCGGGAACAGCGCGCUAUUACAUACAAAUGCAGUGGGAUUUUUUUGAGUUCGGUAGUGGAAUUGUUGUUUUUUUAUUUGAGGGUUAUGUUCAUCUGUCUACUAUGGAAGGAGCUUAAUACCAAUACACAAUAGCAAGCGUUAACUACACGGGGUCUCUGGGGCCCAGUUCCAGGGACACCAGAGGCAGGGUUAGCCGACUGGGUCAGCUCAGCCCCACCUACCGGUAUGUCAGCUGAAUGUACGAGUGCUGUUCUGACAGCAUCUCGUGAGGUUUGGACGAGGAAAUAGACUAGUGCUUUUACAUUGCUGCUGCUGCCUCCCUAUGCUAAUUAUGAUCCCGAUGGCGAAAUAUGUCUUUACACACUAUUAGUACAUGGUGGACCUGAACGACACAAUGAAAAAUCCCCUCAUCAGGCUGCUGCGCAAUACAGUUAUUGGGAAUGUACCAGAAUCAACGUUUCCUGGGAUGAUGAAAAGCAGAGGCGCAGUCUUCCGUUAUGUCUUAUAGUUUCUGACCUACCGCACCAUCGGAUGUAUAAACAACAAUAGACAUGGAUAUGGCCUUUGGGUACUAUACAUGUAUACACAUAACUUAAAUAAAUAUAGAGAGAAAGAAAUCUCAAAAUGUAGCGAUUGGUUUAUUGUCGUGUCAUGAGACUUUGUGGCGACUUUCGAUUGGCCGCGCGCAUAAACGCGAACGUCAUUUGUUGCAGAGGUCUAACGAUGGCUCAAUUUAGACAGCAGAAUAAUGAAAUGGUUACACUGCGGUUUGCGGGUCUGCUGUAAAUAUCCAAUUUUUAGCCUGGGCUUUAUUAAGCAUCAUAUGCAUGGUGAUGAUUUAGAAAGCAUUCCAUCUAUAUGGGAUACAUUUAAAUAUAGGUACAGGCCAAACAAGGUUGUCACUUAUUUCUAAUCAGCAGUGCCAUAAUUUAUUUUUCCCUCUAUAAUUCAACAUUUAAAAAAAAUAAAACAACAGUAGGGCGAAGGGUAUGUGAUUUUCUGCCGUUCCACCUUCCUGCACUACUUCACAGCAGUAAGAGCUGCUCUUUGAGAACAUGACCUCAUGUCACUUCAGAAAGCACACAGUGAGGUGAUGUCAUGCAUCCAAACCGAGCUUUGCAACAUGGCUGUUCAACCAUCCCCCACAGUUUCAGAGAAUCUCCUUCAUCUUGGAUGGUCAGGUAAAACACGUUUCAGGCUGCUUGGUAUCGUAUCUCGGGGAAUUUUAAUAGUCUGUGUAGCUCAACAUUUUACCACAAAUAUAAAACACAAAAGGUUCCUGUGGACACAACUGAUUUAUACAACUCCUUCAGGAUUCAUGAGCCCAAGAAAUUCAAAUAUAUAUUUCAUGCACAGCACUGCCUAAAGUGGCUACAGAUGAAAUCUUUGACAUUUUGCCGAGAAGUCUGGGAGUGGCAGCGCAAAAAAUAUUUGUGACAACAUAUGACAGC
Long non-coding RNA from Betta splendens (Siamese fighting fish), 1582 nucleotides. RefSeq lists it as uncharacterized. The record is from RefSeq and is a predicted model, not a curated record. The transcript has 2 exons. Lineage: Eukaryota; Metazoa; Chordata; Actinopteri; Anabantiformes; Osphronemidae.